CGCCUCUUGACCACUAUAAGAGGUCUAGCCUGCCCAGUGACCAAUUUAACGGCCGCGGUACCCUAACCGUGCGAAGGUAGCAUAAUCACUUGUUUCCUAAAUAGAGACUAGCAUCAACGGCAUCACGAAGACUAUACUGUCUUCCCCCUAAAAUCAAUGAAACUAAUCCCCUCGUGAAGAAGCGAGGAUAAAAAUAUAAGACGAGAAGACCCCAUGGAGCUUUAAACGAACUUUAAUUGCUCUUAAUCUUACCAUAAAAAACGAGCACUAAUAAAAGAUAGUUUUCGGUUGGGGUGACCACGGAGUAAAACAAAACCUCCACAGUGAAUGUAAUAAUACUAAUACAAGAACUACAAUUCUAAUAAUCAAAAAAUUGACACACUUGACCCAAACACUUGAUCAAUGAACCAAGUUACCCUAGGGAUAACAGCGCAAUCCAUUUUAAGAGCCCCUAUCGACAAAUGGGUUUACGACCUCGAUGUUGGAUCAGGGUAUCCUAGUGGUGCAGCCGCUACUAAUGGUUCGUUUGUUCAACGAUUAAAACCCU
This 547-nucleotide ribosomal RNA is filed under the name Leptopelis aubryi (Gaboon forest treefrog). RNAcentral's name for it is "partial 16S ribosomal RNA". It matches the Rfam family "Bacterial large subunit ribosomal RNA", at positions 1829 to 2597 of the family's 2925-position model. Lineage: Eukaryota; Metazoa; Chordata; Amphibia; Anura; Arthroleptidae. The record is from RNAcentral.